GGCUUGAGAAGUUCAGUCCUUGGGAGGUUGUCAGGCAUGACAUAGUAUUUCCUGUUCAAUUCUUUGGCCAUGUUGAAGUCUCUCCUUCAGGACCUCGAAAAUGGGUUGGAGGAGAGACUAUUCACGCACAAGCUUAUGAUGUACCGAUUCCCGGUUAUAAAACAAAAAAUACUAUUAGUCUCCGCCUUUGGGAAGCGAAGGCCACGGCUGAAGAUUUUGACUUGUUCCAGUUCAACGAAGGUCAUUAUGAGUCUGCUUCCCAACUUCAUUCUAAAGCUCAACAGAUAUGUGCUGUUUUGUACCCUGGCGAUGCAACAGAAAGUGGAAAGAUACUUCGAUUGAAGCAACAAUACUUCCUUUGUAGUGCUUCACUUCAGGAUAUUAUCCUUAGGUUUAAGGAGAGGAGAGACGCCAAAGGGGAAUGGAAGUGGUCUGAAUUCUCUGAUAAGGUUGCAGUUCAACUAAAUGAUACACAUCCAACACUUGCAAUACCAGAACUCAUGCGAUUACUGAUGGAUGACGAAGGGCUUGGUUGGGAUGAAGCUUGGGAUGUGACA
RNAcentral lists this unclassified non-coding RNA (557 nucleotides) under Hevea brasiliensis (rubber tree). Lineage: Eukaryota; Viridiplantae; Streptophyta; Magnoliopsida; Malpighiales; Euphorbiaceae. The record is from RNAcentral.